UUCAAGUUUGUUCUCAUGUUUGAACUUACUCAUUUGGUUUGACUGUAACAUACCACUUAGUUUACUUAGGAAAGGCUGAUUGUAUUAUCAUUCUAAUCACAGCUUAUGUAUUAUUAUAGAGUCACAUGUGGAUGGUAAAGAUGAAAGACCCUCAACAUCACAUACACAUCAGGGUUUGUCCAGUGCUGACAAUCCAGAGGUUCCUGCAGGCCAUGCACAGGGGGAUAGUGGUGUGGCAGCCCCAUUUGGCGGGCUUGGACCUAUUGAGUCAAAUGAAGAUUCCUGUGAUGAAGGAAAUAUUCUACACGGUCUGUACCUCCAACCAUUUACAUUGUUGCACAUGUAAAGUUUUGCACAGUUUUGUCAAGUAAAUAUUUUGCCCAAAGAGUCUUAUUUAUUUUAAUUUUGUUGGCACUUUAUAAAGUGACUGUUUUAGAAUAAGGAUUUUCUUUUGUAUGUAACCUACUUUGGGAAUUUACAAA
This is a long non-coding RNA of Sebastes umbrosus (honeycomb rockfish), 482 nucleotides long. RefSeq lists it as uncharacterized. The record is from RefSeq and is a predicted model, not a curated record. The transcript is spliced from 3 exons. Lineage: Eukaryota; Metazoa; Chordata; Actinopteri; Perciformes; Sebastidae.